This 826-nucleotide ribosomal RNA is filed under the name uncultured Pseudoalteromonas sp. Its description in RNAcentral is "bacterial SSU rRNA". It matches the Rfam family "Bacterial small subunit ribosomal RNA", at positions 119 to 938 of the family's 1533-position model. The record is from RNAcentral. Lineage: Bacteria; Pseudomonadati; Pseudomonadota; Gammaproteobacteria; Alteromonadales; Pseudoalteromonadaceae.
GGGAUUUCUUUUAGGGUUGGGGAAACAGUUUGGAACGACUGCUAAUACCGCAUAAUGUCUACGGACCAAAGGCGGGCUUCGGCUCUCGCCUUUAGAUUGGCCCAAGUGGGAUUAGCUAGUUGGUGAGGUAAUGGCUCACCAAGGCGACGAUCCCUAGCUGGUUUGAGAGGAUGAUCAGCCACACUGGGACUGAGACACGGCCCAGACUCCUACGGGAGGCAGCAGUGGGGAAUAUUGCACAAUGGGCGCAAGCCUGAUGCAGCCAUGCCGCGUGUGUGAAGAAGGCCUUCGGGUUGUAAAGCACUUUCAGUCAGGAGGAAAGGUUAGUAGUUAAUACCUGCUAGCUGUGACGUUACUGACAGAAGAAGCACCGGCUAACUCCGUGCCAGCAGCCGCGGUAAUACGGAGGGUGCGAGCGUUAAUCGGAAUUACUGGGCGUAAAGCGUACGCAGGCGGUUUGUUAAGCGAGAUGUGAAAGCCCCGGGCUCAACCUGGGAACUGCAUUUCGAACUGGCAAACUAGAGUGUGAUAGAGGGUGGUAGAAUUUCAGGUGUAGCGGUGAAAUGCGUAGAGAUCUGAAGGAAUACCGAUGGCGAAGGCAGCCACCUGGGUCAACACUGACGCUCAUGUACGAAAGCGUGGGGAGCAAACGGGAUUAGAUACCCCGGUUAGUCCACGCCGUAAACGAUGUCUACUAGAAGCUCGGAGCCUCGGGUUCUGUUUUUUCAAAGCUAACGCAUUAAGUAGACCGCCUUGGGGGAGUACGGGCCGCAAGGUUUAAAACUUCAAAUUGAAUUGAACGGGGGCCCGCCACAAGCGGUUGUAG